This 116-nucleotide non-coding RNA is filed under the name Pseudovibrio sp. Tun.PSC04-5.I4. The record is from RNAcentral. Lineage: Bacteria; Pseudomonadati; Pseudomonadota; Alphaproteobacteria; Hyphomicrobiales; Stappiaceae.
GAGGGUAGGCCCCUCGGAACCGUCUUUCAGGAGGAGGUUCCAAACCACCUUAAGCUGCUGUGGUUAAGAGCCAUGGUGGUGAGCGUUAAGGAAAAGGCAUUCUAGAAAUGUCAGGU